Molecule: ribosomal RNA, 511 nt
Filed under: uncultured Enterobacterales bacterium
Lineage: Bacteria; Pseudomonadati; Pseudomonadota; Gammaproteobacteria; Enterobacterales
Description: bacterial SSU rRNA
Rfam family: Bacterial small subunit ribosomal RNA
Source: RNAcentral
AUUGGACGCUGGCGGCAGGCCUAACACAUGCAAGUCGAACGGUAGCACAGAGGAGCUUGCUCCUUGGGUGACGAGUGGCGGACGGGUGAGUAAUGUCUGGGAAACUGCCCGAUGGAGGGGGAUAACUACUGGAAACGGUAGCUAAUACCGCAUAACGUCGCAAGACCAAAGAGGGGGACCUUCGGGCCUCUUGCCAUCGGAUGUGCCCAGAUGGGAUUAGCUAGUAGGUGGGGUAACGGCUCACCUAGGCGACGAUCCCUAGCUGGUCUGAGAGGAUGACCAGCCACACUGGAACUGAGACACGGUCCAGACUCCUACGGGAGGCAGCAGUGGGGAAUAUUGCACAAUGGGCGCAAGCCUGAUGCAGCCAUGCCGCGUGUAUGAAGAAGGCCUUCGGGUUGUAAAGUACUUUCAGCGAGGAGGAAGGCGUUGUGGUUAAUAACCGCAACGAUUGACGUUACUCGCAGAAGAAGCACCGGCUAACUCCGUGCCAGCCGCCGCGGUAAAAGGG